Molecule: long non-coding RNA, 1873 nt
Organism: Piliocolobus tephrosceles (Ugandan red Colobus)
Lineage: Eukaryota; Metazoa; Chordata; Mammalia; Primates; Cercopithecidae
Source: Ensembl
GUAAAAUUUAUAUAAAGCAUUAUGAAUUAGUUAAUAAACAAAAAGAAAAUUUUGAUCACACAUUAUUUAUUUAUUCAAAUAACAACAAUAUGUUAUAUAUGAAUGAUACUGUAAAAAAUAUAUUACAUAUGUUACAAGACAAAUAUAAAAAAAAGCUAGUUCGUGAAAAGUAUAAUUUAUUAAACAAAAGUCAUUUGAAGGGAAGAUAUUGUGCUAUUAAAAAUGUUAAAAAUAUGCUACGAUAUUAUCAACAGGACUCUAAUUUGCCUUAUAUUGGUCACGAUAUAUAUGAUUAUGAUGUACUACUAGGACAACAUACGCCUACUAUUACUAAUAAUAAUAAUAUUCGUAGUAGUAGGGCUGUUUAUGCUAAUAAUUAUUUUAGUCGUGUUUUUAGAUAUACUAAUUAUAAUAUUAAUACACCAGGGAGAGUGGAUUCGCAUACUCUUGAUCCACGCUUAUAUAAUUACAUUAAUAAUGGAUAUCCUAGUGAUACUUAUCGUGAUAAUUCUUUUGCUAACAUUAUAAAUGAUAUUAAUGCUAACCUUGGUUUUAAUAUUCCUUACCCUGGUCGUAAUAAUAAUAAUGAUAAUAAUAAUAACAACAGAAAUGUUAACAGAAAUAAUAACAAUACCAAUAACAAUACCAAUACCAAUAACAAUACCAAUAACAAUACCAAUAACAAUACCAAUAACAAUAACAAUAACAAUAACAAUAAUAGAAGAUAUAAUGGUUUCUUAGAUUAUUAUCCCUACACUUUAGCAUAUGAUGUUAAUGACGAACCUGUAGCAAAUAUCAGUGAACAUUCUUCUGAAUAUACAAGCGAUAUUUCAGCUACAUAUUCAAUCGACGAAGAAGAUAGAGAUGAAGAGGAAGAUGAGGAAUAUGAUGAUUCUGAUGACGAUUAUUAUGUUGAUGAUGAUUUUGAUAAUUUUUAUAAUAACAACAAUGGUAUUAAUACUAGAAGUAGAUAUAAUUCUAGUAAUAGUAUUAGACAGUCUAGAAAUUAUACCAGUGUAACAGGAAGAAGAACAACAAGUAGGAGAAGAAGAAAAGGAAGAAGAAGAAGAAGAAGAAGACGAAGAACAACAACAACAACAAAUACAACAGCGACAGGGGUAAGGGCAUCAAAUACAGCAACGGCAAGGACAAGGACAAGGACAAGGGGAAGGGGAAGGACAAGAACAGGAACAGUGACAAGAACAGGAACGGGAACAGUAACAAGAACAAGAACAAGAACAGGGACAGCAACAAGAACAGGAACAGCAACAGCAACAGCAACAGCAACAGCAACAGCAACAGCAACAAGAACAGGAACAACAACAAGAACAGAGACAGGAACAGGAAUAGGGACAAGGACAAGAGCAGGGACAAGGACAGCUAGAGCAAGUCGAAGAAGUAGCACAGAACAAAGGGAAUCUGAUUUAAAUGUAAGAAAAAGUGCUAGGUUAAGAGAAAAAGAAAAAAAUAAAAAUAAAAACGAAAACGAAAACGAAAACAGAAACGAAAACGAAAACAGAAACGAUAAUGACAUUAACGAUCUUACCAUUGAUAUUACCUCCGCUGGUAAUAAUGAAAUUAAUAAUGUUAGUAGUAGUAGAUAUACCAGGACAGCAUCAAAUAAUUCUAGGUGUUACUACAACACCAGAUCAUCGAAUUUGAAUAAGCAUUAGCAUUAUAAUUGGAAUUAACUUUUUUUUUGUUUUUAUAAAUACCAACGUUUUGUUACAUUUGUCAAGGGGCUGUAUAUAUAUAUAUAUACUCCCGCAUAUCCGACGUUUAUAACGAAUUAAAGAGGAAUUGUAUUGUAGCUUAAUCACAUACAACCGUCAAAUGUAAUGAAAAAAAUAAAAUAAAAUAAAACUAUUCUGCA